Molecule: long non-coding RNA, 156 nt
Organism: Maniola jurtina (meadow brown)
Lineage: Eukaryota; Metazoa; Arthropoda; Insecta; Lepidoptera; Nymphalidae
Exons: 3
Source: RefSeq, a predicted model, not a curated record
CCGAGAGUAGUCUAUUAAUAAAUCCAUUAGAAUAACGUAACAAUGUAGGUAUAGGUAUAAAGGAGAUAUUAAUCUUGUCUCAUCACGAGAAUAUCUAGGGUUGCCACCAUGGCAAACUGUUUCUAUUAGCCUGUGGAUUGAAUCUACGUAACUCUA